This 162-nucleotide ribosomal RNA is filed under the name Illicium lanceolatum. RNAcentral's name for it is "5.8S ribosomal RNA". It matches the Rfam family "5.8S ribosomal RNA". Rfam says of the family: 5.8S ribosomal RNA (5.8S rRNA) is a component of the large subunit of the eukaryotic ribosome. It is transcribed by RNA polymerase I as part of the 45S precursor that also contains 18S and 28S rRNA. Functionally, it is thought that 5.8S rRNA may be involved in ribosome translocation. The record is from RNAcentral. Lineage: Eukaryota; Viridiplantae; Streptophyta; Magnoliopsida; Austrobaileyales; Schisandraceae.
GAGAUGACUCUCGGCAACGGAUAUCUAGGCUCUUGCCGAUGAAGAACGUAGCGAAAUGCGAUACUUGGUGUGAAUUGCAGAAUCCCGUGAACCAUCAAGUUUUUGAACGCAAGUUGCGCCCGAGGCCACCAGGCCAAGGGCACGCCUGCCUGGGCGUCACGC